GUCUUUUAGUGAAUAAUUUAAAGUCCGGUCUGCUCACUGAGUAAUUAAAGAGCCGCAGUAUUUUGACUGUGCAAAGGUAGCAUAAUCAAUAGUUUUUUAAUUGAAAACUUGUAUGAAAGAUUAAAUGAGAAAGAAAUUUUCUUAAUUUAAGUAAAUUUAAUUUAAAAUUUAAGUGAAAAUGCUUAAAUUUUUAAAAAGACGAGAAGACCCUAUAGAUUUUUAUUAAUAUAAUAGGUAAUAAAAAAAUAAAAUUAAUUUUAUAUUAAUUUGAUUGGGGUGAUAUUGUAAAAUAAAAAACUUAAUUUUUUAAAACCAAAGAUUUAUGAAUUUGUUGAUUUAAAAUUUUUUGAAAAAGAUUAAAUUACCUUAGGGAUAACAGCGUAAUUUUUUUUACGAGUUCAUAUCUAUAAAAAAGUUUACGACCUCGAUGUUGAAUUAAGAUUAAGUAUUGGAGCAGAAAUUAAUAUUUUUAGUCUGUUCGACUAUUAAAAUCU
RNAcentral lists this ribosomal RNA (494 nucleotides) under Phallocaecilius hirsutus. Its description in RNAcentral is "partial 16S ribosomal RNA". The record is from RNAcentral. Lineage: Eukaryota; Metazoa; Arthropoda; Insecta; Psocodea; Pseudocaeciliidae.